Molecule: ribosomal RNA, 417 nt
Filed under: uncultured bacterium
Lineage: Bacteria
Description: bacterial SSU rRNA
Rfam family: Bacterial small subunit ribosomal RNA
Source: RNAcentral
UAUUGGCCAAUGGGCGGGAGCCUGAACCAGCCAAGUCGCGCGAGGGAAGACGGUCCUACGGAUUGUAAACCUCUUUUGUCGGGGAGCGACGGGGUCCUUGCGAGGUCCCAAUGAGAGUACCCGGAGAAAUAGCAUCGGCUAACUCCGUGCCAGCAGCCGCGGUAAUACGGAGGAUGCGAGCGUUAUCCGGAUUUAUUGGGUUUAAAGGGUGCGUAGGCGGGCUGUUAAGUCAGCGGUAAAAAUUCGGGGCUCAACCCCGUCCGGCCGUUGAAACUGGGGGCCUUGAGUGGGCGAGAAGAAGGCGGAAUGCGUGGUGUAGCGGUGAAAUGCAUAGAUAUCACGCAGAACCCCGAUUGCGAAGGCAGCCUUCCGGCGCCCUACUGACGCUGAGGCACGAAAGUGCGGGGAUCGAACAGG